Acanthosepion pharaonis is the source of this 110-nucleotide non-coding RNA. NCBI's taxonomy places the organism in Eukaryota, Metazoa, Mollusca, Cephalopoda, Sepiida, Sepiidae. The record is from the annotation of a GenBank genome assembly.
UGUCAUAUCAUGUUGAAACACCGAUUCACGUAUAAACAUCGAAGUUAAGCAACGUCGAGUUUGAUUAGUACCUAGAUGGGUGACCACUUGGGAAUACCAGGUGCUGUAAG